Molecule: long non-coding RNA, 449 nt
Filed under: Ananas comosus (pineapple)
Lineage: Eukaryota; Viridiplantae; Streptophyta; Magnoliopsida; Poales; Bromeliaceae
Description: long non-coding RNA (ACOM_LNC039966)
Source: RNAcentral
UUUAUUGUUAUUAUUAAAAAAUUGUGUUAACAGUGUAUUAUUGGUUGAAUACAUAUAUAUAUAUAUAUAUUAAUUUCGAUGGAUGUUUAUAUAAUAUAUUUGAUCAGAUUUACACUACAACAAAAACGGUCUAUAGCGACACUUUUAAAUAUAGGUACAUGUUAAAAACGUGCUGCUAGCUAAAAUUACCGACACUUUUAAAAAGUGUUGCUAUAUGUGGGGUCGCUAGGUAUAUAGUGACAGUUAAAGAGUGUCGCUAUAACCUAAAAGAGUGCUGCUAAUUUACCAACACUUAUUUAAAUAUUUAGCAACCGUCGAAACUCUAUCUCGUUGGCUGCGGUGGCGGAGGAGGACGACAGUAAAGACUCUUCAUCUAGAAUUUCAGUGGAUUGAGUGAAGAGAGAAGAAAAGAUGGUAAUUAAUUUUUCUUUUUUUUUUCUUUUCUGUUU